CUCCCGCCGGCGACCGGCGCACGGGUGAGUAACACGUAUGAAACCUGCCCGUAGCAGGGGGAUAAGCGGAAGAAAUUCCGUCUAAUACCGCGUAACAACCCAUGGAGGCAUCUCUGUGGGUUUAAAGGAAGCGAUUCCGGCUACGGAUGGUCAUGCGUCGCAUUAGCUUGUUGGCGGGGUAACGGCCCACCAAGGCGACGAUGCGUAGGGGUUCUGAGAGGAAGGUCCCCCACACUGGUACUGAGACACGGACCAAACUCCUACGGAAGGCAGCAG
This 276-nucleotide ribosomal RNA is filed under the name uncultured bacterium. Its description in RNAcentral is "partial 16S ribosomal RNA". It matches the Rfam family "Bacterial small subunit ribosomal RNA", at positions 82 to 354 of the family's 1533-position model. The record is from RNAcentral.